Molecule: ribosomal RNA, 1474 nt
Filed under: Klebsiella pneumoniae
Lineage: Bacteria; Pseudomonadati; Pseudomonadota; Gammaproteobacteria; Enterobacterales; Enterobacteriaceae
Description: bacterial SSU rRNA
Rfam family: Bacterial small subunit ribosomal RNA
Source: RNAcentral
UCCUGGGGCAGCCUACACAUGCAAGUCGAGCGGUAGCACAGAGAGCUUGCUCUCGGGUGACGAGCGGCGGACGGGUGAGUAAUGUCUGGGAAACUGCCUGAUGGAGGGGGAUAACUACUGGAAACGGUAGCUAAUACCGCAUAACGUCGCAAGACCAAAGUGGGGGACCUUCGGGCCUCAUGCCAUCAGAUGUGCCCAGAUGGGAUUAGCUAGUAGGUGGGGUAACGGCUCACCUAGGCGACGAUCCCUAGCUGGUCUGAGAGGAUGACCAGCCACACUGGAACUGAGACACGGUCCAGACUCCUACGGGAGGCAGCAGUGGGGAAUAUUGCACAAUGGGCGCAAGCCUGAUGCAGCCAUGCCGCGUGUGUGAAGAAGGCCUUCGGGUUGUAAAGCACUUUCAGCGGGGAGGAAGGCGAUAAGGUUAAUAACCUUGUCGAUUGACGUUACCCGCAGAAGAAGCACCGGCUAACUCCGUGCCAGCAGCCGCGGUAAUACGGAGGGUGCAAGCGUUAAUCGGAAUUACUGGGCGUAAAGCGCACGCAGGCGGUCUGUCAAGUCGGAUGUGAAAUCCCCGGGCUCAACCUGGGAACUGCAUUCGAAACUGGCAGGCUAGAGUCUUGUAGAGGGGGGUAGAAUUCCAGGUGUAGCGGUGAAAUGCGUAGAGAUCUGGAGGAAUACCGGUGGCGAAGGCGGCCCCCUGGACAAAGACUGACGCUCAGGUGCGAAAGCGUGGGGAGCAAACAGGAUUAGAUACCCUGGUAGUCCACGCCGUAAACGAUGUCGAUUUGGAGGUUGUGCCCUUGAGGCGUGGCUUCCGGAGCUAACGCGUUAAAUCGACCGCCUGGGGAGUACGGCCGCAAGGUUAAAACUCAAAUGAAUUGACGGGGGCCCGCACAAGCGGUGGAGCAUGUGGUUUAAUUCGAUGCAACGCGAAGAACCUUACCUGGUCUUGACAUCCACAGAACUUUCCAGAGAUGGAUUGGUGCCUUCGGGAACUGUGAGACAGGUGCUGCAUGGCUGUCGUCAGCUCGUGUUGUGAAAUGUUGGGUUAAGUCCCGCAACGAGCGCAACCCUUAUCCUUUGUUGCCAGCGGUUAGGCCGGGAACUCAAAGGAGACUGCCAGUGAUAAACUGGAGGAAGGUGGGGAUGACGUCAAGUCAUCAUGGCCCUUACGACCAGGGCUACACACGUGCUACAAUGGCAUAUACAAAGAGAAGCGACCUCGCGAGAGCAAGCGGACCUCAUAAAGUAUGUCGUAGUCCGGAUUGGAGUCUGCAACUCGACUCCAUGAAGUCGGAAUCGCUAGUAAUCGUAGAUCAGAAUGCUACGGUGAAUACGUUCCCGGGCCUUGUACACACCGCCCGUCACACCAUGGGAGUGGGUUGCAAAAGAAGUAGGUAGCUUAACCUUCGGGAGGGCGCUUACCACUUUGUGAUUCAUGACUGGGGUGAAGUCGUAACAAGUACCGAGG